Ornithodoros turicata is the source of this 704-nucleotide long non-coding RNA. RefSeq lists it as uncharacterized. Lineage: Eukaryota; Metazoa; Arthropoda; Arachnida; Ixodida; Argasidae. The record is from RefSeq and is a predicted model, not a curated record. The transcript has 3 exons.
UAUGUUGUCUCACGGUUGUGUUGCUAUCUUGCAGUUGCUGCUUUGUUCGCAAGCCAGCGUUAUCAACGAUGUUCCUUGGAUCUACAGGUCUUCACAAUCUUGCUCCGAUUCCACGUGCGAGUGCCCUGUCUCUUUCGGAGACAGUUCCGGUUUCUCGCCCUAUGUUCCCGACGAGUCAGCCAUCAAUCUUCUAGCGUCUGCAUAUCAUGUGACAUGUGACGUCUCACCGACAUCAGCGACACCCCCUUUUAAAAGCCUUCUCCAGAACUUUUUCGCCAGUGGGAACUGUGGCAGCAGCUGGAGUCUUCACAAUCUUGCUCCGAUUCCACGUGCGAGUGCCCUGUCUCUUUCGGAGACAGUUCCGGUUUCUCGCCCUAUGUUCCCGACGAGUCAGCCAUCAAUCUUCUAGCGUCUGCAUAUCAUGUGACAUGUGACGUCUCACCGACAUCAGCGACACCCCCUUUUAAAAGCCUUCUCCAGAACUUUUUCGCCAGUGGGAACUGUGGCAGCAGCUGGAGUCUUCACAAUCUUGCUCCGAUUCCACGUGCGAGUGCCCUGUCUCUUUCGGAGACAGUUCCGGUUUCUCGCCCUAUGUUCCCGACGAGUCAGCCAUCAAUCUUCUAGCGUCUGCAUAUCAUGUGACAUGUGACGUCUCACCGACAUCAGCGACACCCCCUUUUAAAAGCCUUCUCCAGAACUUUUUC